CCGGGAUGGAGGGAGUAAACAGUCACAUCUGUGCCUAGAGACAUUCAAAUAUGUUACCAAAUAAAACAGAGUUUAGGAACAAAAGAUGAUAACAGGAACUGUGAAUGCUGCCCCACGUAUGGGCGACAGAAGCCACGUUGAUGAUCCUGGCGGGGGCGGAUUUCUUUAUGAGGUCCAGCAGAAGAUCUCUGCAGGCCAUGAUGACUCGAGCUCCUGAGGAGGCAAAAUAGAGAUGUUCAGGGCAGUCAUGGAACAUUUCACUUUAAAAAAAGACAGAAAAUCUUCUAGG
Molecule: long non-coding RNA, 289 nt
Organism: Triplophysa rosa
Lineage: Eukaryota; Metazoa; Chordata; Actinopteri; Cypriniformes; Nemacheilidae
Exons: 3
Source: RefSeq, a predicted model, not a curated record